GGUGGCGGCAGUAGCGCGGUGGUCCCACCUGACCCCAUGCCGAACUCAGAAGUGAAACGCCGUAGCGCCGAUGGUAGUGUGGGGUCUCCCCAUGCGAGAGUAGGGAACUGCCAGGC
Molecule: ribosomal RNA, 116 nt
Filed under: Salmonella enterica subsp. enterica serovar Berta str. ATCC 8392
Lineage: Bacteria; Pseudomonadati; Pseudomonadota; Gammaproteobacteria; Enterobacterales; Enterobacteriaceae
Source: RNAcentral